This 1382-nucleotide ribosomal RNA is filed under the name Psychrobacter sp. ANIOT02. RNAcentral's name for it is "bacterial SSU rRNA". It matches the Rfam family "Bacterial small subunit ribosomal RNA", at positions 125 to 1473 of the family's 1533-position model. The record is from RNAcentral. Lineage: Bacteria; Pseudomonadati; Pseudomonadota; Gammaproteobacteria; Moraxellales; Moraxellaceae.
UUGGUCAGGGGGGGGGAUGAGGCUCCCUGGGAAACUACCAAUUAAUACCGCAUACGACCUACGGGAGAAAGGGGGCAACUUGUUGCUCUCGCUAUUAGAUGAUCCUAAGUCGGAUUACCUACAUGGUGGGGUAAAGGCCUACCAUGGCGACGAUCUGUAGCUGGUCUGAGAGGAUGAUCAGCCACACCGGGACUGAGACACGGCCCGGACUCCUACGGGAGGCAGCAGUGGGGAAUAUUGGAUUCACAUGGGGGAAACCCUGAUCCAGCCAUGCCGCGUGUGUGAAGAAGGCCUUUUGGUUGUAAAGCAAUUUAAGCAAUGAAGAAGACUCUUCGGUUAAUACCCGGAGACGAUGACAGUAGCUGCAGAAUAAGGCACCGGCUAACUCUGUGCCAGCAGCCGCGGUAAUACAGAGGGUGCAAGCGUUAAUCGGAAUUUACUGGGCGUAAAGCGAGCGUAGGUGGUCUUGAUAAGUCAGAUGUGAAAUCCCCGGGCUUUAACCUGGGAACUGCAUCUGAUACUGUCAGGCUAGAGUAGGUGAGAGGAAGGUAGAAUUCCCAGGUGUAGCGGUGAAAUGCGUAGAGAUCUGGAGGAAUACCGAUGGCGAAGGCAGCCUUCUGGCAUCAUACUGACACUGAGGCUCGAAAGCGUGGGUAGCAAACAGGAUUAGAUACCCUGGUUAGUCCACGCCGUAAACGAUGUCUACUAGUCGUUGGGUCCCUUGAGGACUUAGUGACGCAGCUAACGCAAUUAAGUAGACCGCCUGGGGAGUACGGGCCGCAAGGUUAAAACUCAAAUGAAUUUGACCGGGGGCCCGCAUCUAAGCCCGCGGAGCAUGUCGGUUUGAAUUCCGAAUGCAACUGCGAAGAACCAUAGCCUGGCUCUUUGACAUAUCUAGUAAUCCUGCAGAGAUGCGGGAGUGCCUUCGGGAAUUAGAAUACAGGUGCUGCAUGGCUGUCGUCAGCUCGUGUCGUGAGAUGUUGGGUUAAGUCCCGCAACGAGCGCAACCCUUGUCCUUAGUUACCAGCGGGUUAAGCCGGGAACUCUAAGGAUACUGCCAGUGACAAACUGGAGGAAGGCGGGGACGACGUCAAGUCAUCAUGGCCCUUACGACCAGGGCUACACACGUGCUACAAUGGUAGGUACAGAGGGCAGAUACACAGCGAUGUGAUGCGAAUCUCAAAAAGCCUAUCGUAGUCCAGAUUGGAGUCUGCAACUCGACUCCAUGAAGUAGGAAUCGCUAGUAAUCGCGGAUCAGAAUGCCGCGGUGAAUACGUUCCCGGGCCUUGUACACACCGCCCGUCACACCAUGGGAGUUGAUCGCACCAGAAGUGGUUAGCCUAACCGUAAGGAAGGCGAUCACCCACCGGUUGUUAGGGGUU